CACCGUGAGGUCCUUCAUGCUCAUCCACAAAGGAGCCUCUUUCUCUUUUCUUCCUCACGAAAGCUCUCUCACCCCUCUCCUCAUGGCGCCUCCUUCCCUCCACCCCCUUAUUCUCCCCUUCGCCCCUGAUCUCUCCCUUGAGCACCACACCCACCCCCAUUUCCUAGGGAUAUAUGGACCUGAUCUUGGGCAAGAAGUGGAGACAAGAAGAGGAGGAGAAGAAGAAAGAGAAGAUCCCCACCUCCCUGAUUCCCCUUGCUCAAGCCUCAAGGGUACAUCACCGUGCGGCUUUGCAAGUACUCCCUCCAUCCGGGUUUAUUAGGCCUCUCAACAUCACAAGCAUGUCCCUUUUUAUAAGGCCUCUCUUUGGAAAGGUGCAUGCAUGCAACCAUUUCAUUGGUUGCAAUGAAAGUCAUUGUUGUUGGUGUCAUGGUUGAAAAAUUAAUACACUUCAUGCGUGCUUUUUCAUUGGUUGCAUGCAUGUGAGAGAGUGCAUUGGGAGUGGAAUGGAAGAAUUAAUGUGAGCAAAUUACUAUGUGUCUUGGUCUAAGAGAAGCUGUCUUUAGGCCUAAUAAACCCGGACGGAGUACUAGGAAAGGCGUAGCUCCCAUGGGUGUUCACUCACAUUGCACACCCCUUUCAUUCACCUAGUCCAUAAUGAUAAUUCUCAUAUUUAGGUUCAUGAUUCCUGGUAGCUAGGAUCUACUUGUUGUGUAUUAACCAUCCCUUGGUUUGUUUCCAUGAUCAAUAUGUUUAGCUGUCAAGGUGGGUUGGAGUUGACUAGUCCCCACCUUGCACCUGGGUGUGUUGGAACAUAUAUUUUCUUUGUUUUGUGUAGCAUAACAUUUGGUGGCUUCACCACUUUGCUCUACAUGGGUUGGAUGCUUCUGCUUGUGAUAUUAUAAAUAUAUACUCUAUUUAUUCAA
Aegilops tauschii subsp. strangulata is the source of this 926-nucleotide non-coding RNA. NCBI's taxonomy places the organism in Eukaryota, Viridiplantae, Streptophyta, Magnoliopsida, Poales, Poaceae. The record is from RefSeq and is a predicted model, not a curated record.